RNAcentral lists this long non-coding RNA (364 nucleotides) under Phoenix dactylifera (date palm). RNAcentral describes it as "long non-coding RNA (PDAC_LNC005208)". The record is from RNAcentral. Lineage: Eukaryota; Viridiplantae; Streptophyta; Magnoliopsida; Arecales; Arecaceae.
GCUUCACUCUUCAAGGGAUGAUGGAGCUCUUGAUGCCUCUUUGAAUCUGCUCAAUCCCUUUCCUUGAUUCUUGAAUGAAGCUCUUGAUGAAGGAGAUUAGGGCUCUUUUAUUUUCUUGUGUAUUCUUUGAUAUCCCUCUCAAAAGUUCUUCUCUCUGAUGAAUAGUGCCCCUUUAAAUAGUUUCCAACCUUCCUUGGACAAGCCCCAAUGGUUAGAUUUAAAAAACUAGCCGUUACUCACCUUGGGAAGGACAAAAAGUACAUCUGCAGAACUAGCCGUUACUGUUCAGCCCGUGUUUGGGUCGGCUCAACCUGUCCUUGGGUCGACCCAACUUUGCCUUGGGUCGACUUAAACAUUCCUUGGG